UACGGGGGGAGCAAACGUUGUUCGGAUUUACUGGGCGUAAAGGGCGCGUAGGCGGCCACCGCAAGUCGACUGUGAAAUCUCCGGGCUUAACCCGGAAAGGUCAGCCGAUACUGCGGGGCUAGAGUGCAGAAGGGGCAACUGGAAUUCUCGGUGUAGCGGUGAAAUGCGUAGAUAUCGAGAGGAACACCUGCGGCGAAGGCGGGUUGCUGGGCUGACACUGACGCUGAUGCGCGAAAGCUAGGGGAGCGAACGGG
Molecule: ribosomal RNA, 254 nt
Filed under: uncultured bacterium
Lineage: Bacteria
Description: partial 16S ribosomal RNA
Rfam family: Bacterial small subunit ribosomal RNA
Source: RNAcentral